Pantherophis guttatus is the source of this 738-nucleotide long non-coding RNA. RefSeq lists it as uncharacterized. Lineage: Eukaryota; Metazoa; Chordata; Lepidosauria; Squamata; Colubridae. The record is from RefSeq and is a predicted model, not a curated record.
UGCACACAUCAUCUUUUACUUGCUGGGCAUGGAUGUCAGCACUACGCGAAGAAGAAGUAUAACUUUAAUCAGUGUGCUUUCUUAUAAAUAUUCGUGAGAGACUCUGCACCUGAAGCACUCCCAAUCCCCCCCAGGAACAUCUGAAUCUAGUUCAAAGCCCCCCUUCCUGAAGAGGGCCCACCACUGUAACACCUUGCUGAAAUGCAAUUACUCCAUAGGCCACAGAGGAUAGAGUCUAGGUGGUUUUGCAGUUGUCUUGCAAAGCAACUGCUUAGAUUAUUUUAAUCACCAGACACAAAUAUAUCACAUGAUCUUUAAAAAAAAUGGAUGGAUGGUGCACUCUUUGCUUCCUUUACUGAUCAUCUCAAAAACCUACUGAUGGGCUCAAAAGUGUUCUCAGCAUCUCAAGGAUGAUGGCAGCAAAGAUAAUUAUAUUUAUCAGUUUCCUAUUAUGGAAUUACUGCUCCCGAAGGAAAUGUCAACUAAUAUGAAUAUGCAAACAUCGCACCCACCUACACAUAUGCUGUUGCUCAGUUAUUCUUGGCAGUGCCAGCGCUGUCAAUCUCAAGUCUUCAAAAGUUCUCAACAUCUUGUUGCGGGCUGCCCCCGGUUCGCACCGGUUCUAUAGAACCGGUAGGAAAACUGGCGGGAGGCCCCGCCCACCGACCCCGACAUCACCAAAAUGCAUCUGCACAUGCUCAGAAGAGCACAUGUGAGCAAAGCAAGCAUGCGCGCACG